This 491-nucleotide ribosomal RNA is filed under the name uncultured bacterium. RNAcentral describes it as "partial 16S ribosomal RNA". It matches the Rfam family "Bacterial small subunit ribosomal RNA", at positions 29 to 507 of the family's 1533-position model. The record is from RNAcentral.
AUGCACGCUAGCUACAGGCUUCACACCUGCAAGUCGAGGGGAAACGGCAUUAAGUGCUUGCACUUUUUGGACGUCGACCGGCGCACGGGUGAGUAACGCGUAUCCAACCUUCCCAUGACUAAGGGAUAACCUGCCGAAAGGCAGACUAAUACCUUAUGGUCUUCACUGACGGCAUCAGAUGUGAAGUAAAGAUUUAUCGGUUAUGGAUGGGGAUGCGUCUGAUUAGCUUGUUGGCGGGGUAACGGCCCACCAAGGCAACGAUCAGUAGGGGUUCUGAGAGGAAGGUCCCCCACAUUGGAACUGAGACACGGUCCAAACUCCUACGGGAGGCAGCAGUGAGGAAUAUUGGUCAAUGGGCGAGAGCCUGAACCAGCCAAGUAGCGUGCAGGAUGACGGCCCUAUGGGUUGUAAACUGCUUUUGUAUGGGGAUAAAGUCAAUCACGUGUGAUUGUUUGCAGGUACCAUACGAAUAAGGACCGGCUAAUUCCGUG